AUGUUGACCAGGGUUGACUGACCAAGUCGUCUGGACAACUCAAGUCGAGAUGGCGCCGUGGACCUUCCUUCUCGUCGUGUUGGUACUGGCAGUGGCUGAAGGCCAAGUAGGGUCGAGGCAAGGGGCAUCUCAACUCAGCGGCGGACCUGGGAACGCUCGUUCGCAGAACUCCGUUCUUCGCCUCUUACAAGGACAACAACGGGAGCUGUGUGAAGGACUUUGUGACGGAAUGCCAGGAAUUUGCGAACCCAGCAGCUGGUGUGUCUGUCCUUUUGGACCACCAUUUCAGACUAGGAAUUGCUUGUACAGACGGGUUACUUCUAUUCCACCUCCUGGAAAAUGAGCAACGGAGGAAAAUGAAUGUAGCCACGCAAAUAAAAGGCAGGCGUUAAAGCGAAAGUCCGCAA
Molecule: long non-coding RNA, 407 nt
Organism: Ornithodoros turicata
Lineage: Eukaryota; Metazoa; Arthropoda; Arachnida; Ixodida; Argasidae
Exons: 3
Source: RefSeq, a predicted model, not a curated record